Molecule: non-coding RNA, 29 nt
Filed under: Rattus norvegicus (Norway rat)
Lineage: Eukaryota; Metazoa; Chordata; Mammalia; Rodentia; Muridae
Source: RNAcentral
UCCAGUCAUUGGGGAAGUUAGGGUUACUC